GACGAACGCUGGCGGCGUGCUUAACACAUGCAAGUCGAACGGUGAAGCGGGUGCUUGCACUCGUGGAUCAGUGGCGAACGGGUGAGUAACACGUGAGUAACCUGCCCAUCACUCUGGGAUAAGCGCUGGAAACGGCGUCUAAUACUGGAUACGACCAACCCUUGCAUGGGGUGUUGGUGGAAAGAUUUAUCGGUGGUGGAUGGACUCGCGUCCUAUCAGCUUGUUGGUGGGGUAAUGGCCUACCAAGGCGACGACGGGUAGCCGGCCUGAGAGGGCGACCGGCCACACUGGGACUGAGACACGGCCCAGACUCCUACGGGAGGCAGCAGUGGGGAAUAUUGCACAAUGGGCGAAAGCCUGAUGCAGCGACGCCGCGUGAGGGAUGACGGCCUUCGGGUUGUAAACCUCUUUCAGCAGGGAAGAAGCUUUUGUGACGGUACCUGCAGAAGAAGCACCGGCUAACUACGUGCCAGCAGCCGCGGUAAUACGUAGGGUGCGAGCGUUUGUCGGAAUUAUUGGGCGUAAAGAGCUUGUAGGCGGUUUGUCGCGUCUGCUGUGAAAUCUAGGGCUUAACCCUGGACGUGCAGUGGGUACGGGCAGACUAGAGUGUGGUAGGGGAGACUGGAAUUCCUGGUGUAGCGGUGGAAUGCGCAGAUAUCAGGAGGAACACCGAUGGCGAAGGCAGGUCUCUGGGCCAUUACUGACGCUGAGAAGCGAAAGCAUGGGGAGCGAACAGGAUUAGAUACCCUGGUAGUCCAUGCCGUAAACGUUGGGCGCUAGGCGUGGGUCUCAUUCCACGAGAUCCGUGUCGAAGCUAACGCAUUAAGCGCCCCGCCUGGGGAGUACGGCCGCAAGGCUAAAACGCAAAGGAAUUGACGGGGGCCCGCACAAGCGGCGGAGCAUGCUGAUUAAUUCGAUGCAACGCGAAGAACCUUACCAAGGCUUGACAUGCACCGGACAGCCCCAGAGAUGGGAUCUUCUUCGGACUGGUGCACAGGUGGUGCAUGGUUGUCGUCAGCUCGUGUCGUGAGAUGUUGGGUUAAGUCCCGCAACGAGCGCAACCCUCGUUCUAUGUUGCCAGCACGUGAUGGUGGGGACUCAUAGGAGACUGCCGGGGUCAACUCGGAGGAAGGUGGGGAUGACGUCAAAUCAUCAUGCCCCUUAUGUCUUGGGCUUCAAGCAUGCUACAAUGGCCGGUACAGAGGGUUGCGAUGCCGUGAGGUGGAGCGAAUCCCAAAAAACCGGUCUCAGUUCGGAUUGGGGUCUGCAACUCGACCCCAUGAAGUCGGAGUCGCUAGUAAUCGCAGAUCAGCAACGCUGCGGUGAAUACGUUCCCGGGCCU
Molecule: ribosomal RNA, 1342 nt
Filed under: uncultured bacterium
Lineage: Bacteria
Description: bacterial SSU rRNA
Rfam family: Bacterial small subunit ribosomal RNA
Source: RNAcentral